CCCUUAGAUGUUCUGGGCCGCACGCGCGCUACACUGACGAAGUCAGCGAGCAUGUCCUACGCCGACAGGUGCGGGGAAUCUUGUCAAACUUCGUCGUGAUGGGGAUUAAUUAUUGAAAUUCUUGAUCAUCAACGAGGAAUUCCUAGUAAGCGCAAGUCAGCAGCUUGCGUUGAUUACGUCCCUGCCCUUUGUACACACCGCCCGUCGCUACUACCGAUUGAAUGGUUUAGUGAGAUCUUCGGAUUGGCGCCACUGCGGCUCAGCAAUGGGCUCGGUGGAUGCCGAAAAGUUGAUCAAACUUGAUCAUUUAGAGGAAGUAAAAGUCGUAACA
RNAcentral lists this ribosomal RNA (331 nucleotides) under uncultured eukaryote. RNAcentral describes it as "partial 18S ribosomal RNA". It matches the Rfam family "Eukaryotic small subunit ribosomal RNA", at positions 1470 to 1796 of the family's 1831-position model. The record is from RNAcentral.